This 516-nucleotide ribosomal RNA is filed under the name uncultured bacterium. Its description in RNAcentral is "bacterial SSU rRNA". It matches the Rfam family "Bacterial small subunit ribosomal RNA", at positions 75 to 590 of the family's 1533-position model. The record is from RNAcentral.
CUUGCUUUCUUGAUGACGACCAGCGAACGGGUGCGUAACACGUAUGGAACCUACCUUAUACAGGGGCAUAGCCCAGAGAAAUCUGGAUUAAUUUCCCAUAACAUCUGAGAGUGGCAUCACUUUUAGAUUAAAGCUUCGGCGGUAUAAGAUGGCCAUGCGGCCCAUUAGUUAGUUGGUGAGGUAACGGCUCACCAAGACCAUGAUGGGUAGGGGUUCUGAGAGGAUUAUCCCCCACACUGGUACUGAGACACGGACCAGACUCCUACGGGAGGCAGCAGUGAGGAAUAUUGCGCAAUGGACGAAAGUCUGACGCAGCCAUGCCGCGUGCAGGAUGACAGCCCUAUGGGUCGUAAACUGCUUUUAUAUGGGAAGAAACCCCUUCACGUGUGAAGGGCUGACGGUACCAUAUGAAUAAGCACCGGCUAACUCCGUGCCAGCAGCCGCGGUAAUACGGAGGGUGCAAGCGUUAUCCGGAUUUAUUGGGUUUAAAGGGUCCGUAGGCGGGUCUUUAAGUCA